CAGUUACGGUUCAUUGGAUAUUGAUUUUUUACAUGGAUAACUGUGGUAAAUCUAGAGCUAAUACGUGCACAAAAGCUUUAACCUUUAUGGAAAAAGCGCAUUUAUUAGACCAAGACCAAUGGUCAUUUUUACCCAAAAAUGACCUUUUUACUUGGUGACUCUGAAUAACUGAGCUAAUCGCAUGGCCUAUGCGCCGGCGAUAUAUCCUUCAAGCGUCUGCCUUAUCAACUGUA
RNAcentral lists this ribosomal RNA (233 nucleotides) under Demodex caprae. RNAcentral's name for it is "partial 18S ribosomal RNA". It matches the Rfam family "Eukaryotic small subunit ribosomal RNA", at positions 107 to 323 of the family's 1831-position model. The record is from RNAcentral. Lineage: Eukaryota; Metazoa; Arthropoda; Arachnida; Trombidiformes; Demodicidae.